This is a long non-coding RNA of Scophthalmus maximus (turbot), 228 nucleotides long. RefSeq lists it as uncharacterized. NCBI's taxonomy places the organism in Eukaryota, Metazoa, Chordata, Actinopteri, Pleuronectiformes, Scophthalmidae. The record is from RefSeq and is a predicted model, not a curated record. The transcript has 3 exons.
GGGAGAACAAGGUGAGGCCGUGCUUGAGGUUUCAUGAGAUGCUUGAGAUGAGAAGGAAAUCCACUGGAGACCAUGAAGCAAAAAUCAAGUGGAAGCUGAACACCUGCACGAGUACAGGAAAAGAGCCACAGAAACAGACCCGGUGGGACUGCGACGCGCCCACAUCGGCCCGAGCGGCCUCGUCUUCAGUCGCCAGAUGCUUUGCGCAGCGGGCGUCAUUCUUUUCGG